This 250-nucleotide ribosomal RNA is filed under the name uncultured bacterium. RNAcentral's name for it is "partial 16S ribosomal RNA". It matches the Rfam family "Bacterial small subunit ribosomal RNA", at positions 524 to 773 of the family's 1533-position model. The record is from RNAcentral.
UACGGAGGAUCCGAGCGUUAUCCGGAAUCACUGGGCGUAAAGGGAGCGUAGGUGGUAAGAAAAGUCAGAUGUGAAAGUUUGCGGCUCAACCGUAAAAUUGCAUUUGAAACUUUCUUACUAGAGUAUCGGAGAGGAAAGCGGAAUUCCUGGUGUAGCGGUGAAAUGCGCAGAUAUCAGGAAGAACACCAAUGGCGAAGGCAGCUUUCUGGAAGAUAACUGACACCGAGGCUCGAAAGCAUGGGGAGCAAAC